This 221-nucleotide unclassified non-coding RNA is filed under the name soil metagenome. RNAcentral's name for it is "partial contains 5.8S ribosomal RNA, internal transcribed spacer 2, and large subunit ribosomal RNA". The record is from RNAcentral.
AACAUCGCGCACCUGCGGGAACCUGCGGAAGGAUCAUUACACAAUACAAUAUGAAGGCUGUCCGCAGCUGGAGUAUUUUAUUACCCUUGUCUUUUGCGCACUUGUUGUUUCCUGGGCGGGUUCGCUCGCCACCAGGACCACCAAAUAAACCUUUUUUAUGCAGUUGCAAUCAGCGUCAGUACAAACAAUGUAAAUCAUUUACAACUUUUAACAACGGAUCU